RNAcentral lists this ribosomal RNA (489 nucleotides) under uncultured bacterium. RNAcentral's name for it is "partial 16S ribosomal RNA". It matches the Rfam family "Bacterial small subunit ribosomal RNA", at positions 29 to 507 of the family's 1533-position model. The record is from RNAcentral.
AUUGAACGCUGGCGGCAUGCCUUACACAUGCAAGUCGAACGGCAUCGCGGGAAAUCUUGCUUUCCUGGCGGCGAGUGGCGAACGGGUGAGUAACACAUCGGAACGUACCGGCUAGUGGGGGAUAACCCGUCGAAAGACGGUCUAAUACCUCAUACCCUCUUCGGAGGAAAGCAGGGGACCUUUUGGCCUUGCGCUAGUCGAUCGGCCGAUGUCCGAUUGUCUAGUUGGUGGGGUACAGGCCUACCAAGGCGACGAUCGGUAGCGGGUCUGAGAGGACGAUCCGCCACACUGGGGCUGAGACACGGCCCAGACUCCUAAGGGAGGCAGCAGUGGGAAAUCUUGGACAAUGGGGGAAGCGUGCUCCAGCAAUGCCGCGUGGGUGAAGAAGGCCGUCGGGUUGUAAAGCCCUUUUGGCAGGGAAGAAGUCGGCGGGGCGAAUAACACUGCUGGAUGACGGUACCUGGAGAAGAAGCACCGGCUAACUACGUG